GCCCUUGUGGCGCAGUGGUAUGCGCGCUCCGCUUCUAACGGAAAGGUCCGGUGUUCGACCCACCGCUGGGGUU
This 73-nucleotide transfer RNA is filed under the name Tremella mesenterica DSM 1558. Its description in RNAcentral is "tRNA-Arg (TCT) (tRNA-Arg-TCT-2-1)". It matches the Rfam family "tRNA". From Rfam's summary of the family: Transfer RNA (tRNA) molecules are approximately 80 nucleotides in length. Their secondary structure includes four short double-helical elements and three loops (D, anti-codon, and T loops). Further hydrogen bonds mediate the characteristic L-shaped molecular structure. tRNAs have two regions of fundamental functional importance: the anti-codon, which is responsible for specific mRNA codon recognition, and the 3' end, to which the tRNAs corresponding amino acid is attached (by aminoacyl-tRNA synthetases). tRNAs cope with the degeneracy of the genetic code in two manners: having more than one tRNA (with a specific anti-codon) for a particular amino acid; and 'wobble' base-pairing, i.e. permitting non-standard base-pairing at the 3rd anti-codon position. The record is from RNAcentral. Lineage: Eukaryota; Fungi; Basidiomycota; Tremellomycetes; Tremellales; Tremellaceae.